GCCCCGCUUGCGGGGUGGAUUAGUGGCGAACGGGUGAGUAACACGUGAGCAAUCUGCCCCUGACUCUGGGAUAAGCGUUGGAAACGACGUCUAAUACCGGAUAUGACGACUGGCCGCAUGGUCUGGUUGUGGAAAGAUUUUUCGGUUGGGGAUGAGCUCGCGGCCUAUCAGCUUGUUGGUGAGGUAAUGGCUCACCAAGGCGACGACGGGUAGCCGGCCUGAGAGGGUGACCGGCCACACUGGGACUGAGACACGGCCCAGACUCCUACGGGAGGCAGCAGUGGGGAAUAUUGCACAAUGGGCGCAAGCCUGAUGCAGCAACGCCGCGUGAGGGAUGACGGCCUUCGGGUUGUAAACCUCUUUUGUCCAGGAAGAAGCCUUCGGGUGACGGUACUGGGAGAAAAAGCACCGGCUAACUACGUGCCAGCAGCCGCGGUAAUACGUAGGGUGCAAGCGUUGUCCGGAAUUAUUGGGCGUAAAGAGCUCGUAGGCGGUUUGUCGCGUCUGCUGUGAAAUCCCGAGGCUCAACCUCGGGCCUGCAGUGGGUACGGGCAGACUAGAGUGCGGUAGGGGAGAUUGGAAUUCCUGGUGUAGCGGUGGAAUGCGCAGAUAUCAGGAGGAACACCGAUGGCGAAGGCAGAUCUCUGGGCCGUAACUGACGCUGAGGAGCGAAAGCGUGGGGAGCGAACAGGAUUAGAUACCCUGGUAGUCCACGCCGUAAACGUUGGGAACUAGAUGUGGGGGCCAUU
RNAcentral lists this ribosomal RNA (749 nucleotides) under Mycetocola sp. RNAcentral describes it as "bacterial SSU rRNA". It matches the Rfam family "Bacterial small subunit ribosomal RNA", at positions 73 to 833 of the family's 1533-position model. Lineage: Bacteria; Bacillati; Actinomycetota; Actinomycetes; Micrococcales; Microbacteriaceae. The record is from RNAcentral.